Molecule: ribosomal RNA, 904 nt
Filed under: uncultured bacterium
Lineage: Bacteria
Description: bacterial SSU rRNA
Rfam family: Bacterial small subunit ribosomal RNA
Source: RNAcentral
AGAGUUUGAUCAUGGCUCAGGAUGAACGCUAGCGGCAGGCCUAACACAUGCAAGUCGAGGGGUAGAACACUUCGGUGUUUGAGACCGGCGCACGGGUGCGUAACGCGUAUGCAAUCUGCCUUGUAGAGAGGGAUAGCCCAGAGAAAUUUGGAUUAAUACCUCAUAGUAUAAUUGAAUGGCAUCAUUUGAUUAUUAAAGUUCCAACGCUACAAGAUGAGCAUGCGUCCCAUUAGUUAGUUGGUGUGGUAACGGCACACCAAGACGAUGAUGGGUAGGGGUCCUGAGAGGGAGAUCCCCCACACUGGUACUGAGACACGGACCAGACUCCUACGGGAGGCAGCAGUGAGGAAUAUUGGUCAAUGGACGCAAGUCUGAACCAGCCAUGCCGCGUGCAGGAAGAAGGUUCUAUGGAUUGUAAACUGCUUUUGUACAGGAAGAAAUUAUCCCUCGUGAGGGAGCUUGACAGUACUGUAAGAAUAAGGAUCGGCUAACUCCGUGCCAGCAGCCGCGGUAAUACGGAGGAUCCAAGCGUUAUCCGGAAUCAUUGGGUUUAAAGGGUCCGUAGGCGGAUUAGUAAGUCAGCGGUGAAAGUUUGCAGCUUAACUGUAAAAUUGCCAUUGAUACUGCUAGUCUUGAAUGUUUGUGAAGUAGCUAGAAUAUGUAGUGUAGCGGUGAAAUGCUUAGAUAUUACAUGGAAUACCAAUUGCGAAGGCAGGUUACUAACAAAUGAUUGACGCUGAUGGACGAAAGCGUGGGUAGCGAACAGGAUUAGAUACCCUGGUAGUCCACGCCGUAAACGAUGGAUACUAGCUGUUUGGUCGUAAGACUGAGUGGCUAAGCGAAAGUGAUAAGUAUCCCACCUGGGGAGUACGUUCGCAAGAAUGAAACUUAAAUGAAUUGACGG